RNAcentral lists this unclassified non-coding RNA (323 nucleotides) under Hevea brasiliensis (rubber tree). The record is from RNAcentral. Lineage: Eukaryota; Viridiplantae; Streptophyta; Magnoliopsida; Malpighiales; Euphorbiaceae.
CGAGGCGAACUUCGGAUUCAGGACACUAGAACAUUCGGGAUUCAGGUGAUUGCAUCAAAGCGUCAUUCGGGGCAAAAACCGCCUCGAAAAUCGUCAUUUCCGAACCGUUGAGGAGAACUUGAGAAUGGCAGUCCGUGUCGCGAUCAAUGGAUUUGGCCGUAUCGGCCGCAACAUUCUGCGGGCCAUUUAUGAAUCCAAGCGCACGGACAUCGAGGUGGUCGCCAUCAACGAUCUCGGGCCGGUCGAAACCAACGCCCAUCUGCUGCGCUACGAUUCCGUGCAUGGACGGUUCCCGGGCACCGUGACCGUCGAGGGCGACUCGA